RNAcentral lists this ribosomal RNA (146 nucleotides) under uncultured bacterium. RNAcentral's name for it is "partial 16S ribosomal RNA". It matches the Rfam family "Bacterial small subunit ribosomal RNA", at positions 365 to 527 of the family's 1533-position model. The record is from RNAcentral.
GUCGUCAUGCGCGCAGCCUGACGGAGCACGCCGCGUGAGGGAUGAAGGCCUCUGGGCUGUAAACCUCUUUUAGCAAGGAAGAAGAUCUGACGGUACUUGAUGAAUAAGCCACGGCUAAUUCCGUGCCAGCAGCCGCGGUAAUAUCU